CAAUCAAACCGGGAGAUAGCUGGUUCUCCCCGAAAGCUAUUUAGGUAGCGCCUCGUGAAUUCAUCUCCGGGGGUAGAGCACUGUUUCGGCUAGGGGGCCAUCCCGGCUUACCAACCCGAUGCAAACUGCGAAUACCGGAGAAUGUUAUCACGGGAGACACACGGCGGGUGCUAACGUCCGUCGUGAAGAGGGAAACAACCCAGACCGCCAGCUAAGGUCCCAAAGUCAUGGUUAAGUGGGAAACGAUGUGGGAAGGCCCAGACAGCCAGGAUGUUGGCUUAGAAGCAGCCAUCAUUUAAAGAAAGCGUAAUAGCUCACUGGUCGAGUCGGCCUGCGCGGAAGAUGUAACGGGGCUAAACCAUGCACCGAAGCUGCGGCAGCGAACGUAUCACCCAAGACAACUUUACGGAGUUGACGAUUGACGGAGCGAAGCGACGUCAAAGCGUUCAUUAAAGUCGAGUUGGCUUAGGGAUACGUUCGUUGGGUAGGGGAGCGUUCUGUAAGCCUGUGAAGGUGUGUCGUGAGGCAUGCUG
Molecule: ribosomal RNA, 533 nt
Filed under: Salmonella enterica
Lineage: Bacteria; Pseudomonadati; Pseudomonadota; Gammaproteobacteria; Enterobacterales; Enterobacteriaceae
Description: partial 23S ribosomal RNA
Rfam family: Bacterial large subunit ribosomal RNA
Source: RNAcentral